ACUACUGUGGUGUAAUGGUUUGAGCAUUGGACUGUGACUCUGGAGACCAGGGUUCAAAUCCCUGCUCAUGGA
This 72-nucleotide transfer RNA is filed under the name Phrynosoma platyrhinos (Desert horned lizard). RNAcentral's name for it is "tRNA-OTHER". Lineage: Eukaryota; Metazoa; Chordata; Lepidosauria; Squamata; Phrynosomatidae. The record is from RNAcentral.